This 272-nucleotide ribosomal RNA is filed under the name uncultured Pseudomonas sp. RNAcentral describes it as "partial 16S ribosomal RNA". It matches the Rfam family "Bacterial small subunit ribosomal RNA", at positions 1113 to 1382 of the family's 1533-position model. The record is from RNAcentral. Lineage: Bacteria; Pseudomonadati; Pseudomonadota; Gammaproteobacteria; Pseudomonadales; Pseudomonadaceae.
AGUUACCAGCACGUUAUGGUGGGCACUCUAAGGAGACUGCCGGGUGGACAAACCGGAGGAAGGUGGGGAUGACGUCAAGUCAUCAUGGCCCUUACGGCCUGGGCUACACACGUGCUACAAUGGUCGGUACAAAGGGUUGCCAAGCCGCGAGGUGGAGCUAAUCCCAUAAAACCGAUCGUAGUCCGGAUCGCAGUCUGCAACUCGACUGCGUGAAGUCGGAAUCGCUAGUAAUCGUGAAUCAGAAUGUCACGGUGAAUACGUUCCCGGGCCUU